CACCCCUCCCAGCCGACAUUGGCUUUUUAAAAUCCUGUUUUGGUUUUUUAUUGUGAGCAUGCUGCAGUGAGCAAUAUGGUGAUCACUAGUGCUGUUUGGCAUUACUACCUUGGUUUAUGCUAAGGUGCAGCAGUUUCUCUCCACUGCUCUUGCAUUGUCAGUGCAGAAGGGAGCAAAGUUGAAAGGACAUCACAUUUUAAUGUGGUGCAAAGAAUUUUGACCUUGCAGACCCCCUUGGAGCAAGGCUCUGGAGGCCUCUCUGUCUCCCCUAGUUCUGUGGACCACAGUUGGAGGGCUAUGAUCUGGUCCAUCUCCCAUCCUAUUGAAGAACCCUUUCUGUAUCUUUGAGAAAUUACCUUUCCGUUUCCCUCAGGGAUGUCUAUUGCGGGGGAAAUUCACUACACUGUGAAGCAGCCCAUUACAUUUUUGAAAGUUCUGUAAACUAGGCUGGGCGCAGUGGCUCACACCUGUAAUCCCAGCACUUUGGGAGGCCGAGGCAGGUGGAUCACGAGGUCAGGAGUUUGAGACCAGCCUGACCAACAUGGUGAAACCCCGUCUCUAC
RNAcentral lists this long non-coding RNA (562 nucleotides) under Homo sapiens (human). RNAcentral describes it as "non-protein coding lnc-MKRN1-4:1". The record is from RNAcentral. Lineage: Eukaryota; Metazoa; Chordata; Mammalia; Primates; Hominidae.